GAUGAACGCUGACCGAAUGCUUAACACAUGCAAGUCUUUGGCGAAGCUGUGCUUGCACAGCCUAGCCAAGGCGGACGGGUGAGUAACGCGUAAGGAACUUGCCCUGCAGUCAGGGAUAACAGACGGAAACGACUGAUAAGACCUGGUAAAGUCAGGCGGACUCAUGUCCAGCCUGAUGAAAAGAGAUGCUGCAGGAGAGCCUUGCGUCCUAUUAGCUUGUUGGUGGGGUAACGGCCCACCAAGGCGAUGAUAGGUAGCCGGCCUGAGAGGGUGGACGGCCACAAGGGGACUGAGAUACGGCCCUUACUCCUACGGGAGGCAGCAGUGGGGAAUAUUGGACAAUGGGGGCAACCCUGAUCCAGCAAUUCGGUGUGCACGAUGAAGGUUUUCGGAUUGUAAAGUGCUUUCAGCAGGGAAGAAAAAAUGACGGUACCUGCAGAAGAAGCGACGGCUAAAUACGUG
This 462-nucleotide ribosomal RNA is filed under the name uncultured bacterium. Its description in RNAcentral is "partial 16S ribosomal RNA". It matches the Rfam family "Bacterial small subunit ribosomal RNA", at positions 28 to 507 of the family's 1533-position model. The record is from RNAcentral.